This 1062-nucleotide ribosomal RNA is filed under the name Triticum aestivum (bread wheat). RNAcentral's name for it is "partial small subunit ribosomal RNA". The record is from RNAcentral. Lineage: Eukaryota; Viridiplantae; Streptophyta; Magnoliopsida; Poales; Poaceae.
AUGGACCAUGGCGGUGGCGGCGGCAGGAGUAGCAGCCGCCUCCGGGACCGUCUGGCCCGGAUGUUCCGUCCGGGCUCGCUGCUCCGCUCGACCUGCAACAACAACACCGCGUCGACCUCCUCCUCCUCCUCCUGCUCCGCCGCGGUGGGCGCGGCAGCCGACGGGGUGACCGCGUCCAAGCCGCCCCCGAGCUCCGUCUGCUCCUCCAGCCGCGCGCUCUUGGCCGCCGACUCCGCCAUCUCCCGCGACAGGGACUCGUUCCUUACCUCUUCUCGCCGCGACUACGCCACCAUCGUUGGCCGCACCGAGUCCUUCUCCAACGCCCUCGACCGCGUGCACCGCCGCGCCGGCGCCGCGGUGCAUUCUCUGCCGCCUCCGGCUCGCUUCUCCAUGCACGCGUCGCCUCUGAUGGAGAGCAAGAAAAAGAGCCCUCUCCACGGCAGUCAUCGGCACCACCGCCACCGCCUCGGUGGCCGGGUCAAGGGCGACAAGAGCAAGAAGCUGCUCUCCAACAACCCCUAUGGCUUCAGCACCUCGGACACCGACGGCGACGACGUCUUCAGCAGCGACGCUGACGAGCACGGCCGCAGCGACGCCAAGAAGGGGGACGCGGAGGCAUUCUUCUCCUCCUCCAGAAGCUUCUCCUUCUCCUCCGACUCCUCCGAGUUCUACAGCAAGAAGAAGAAACCAAAGAAGUCCCCUGCCGCAGUGGCGCCCAAGCCGCCGCCGCCGCCGCCGCCGAGAGCGAGGGCCAGGGGGCAGAGGCGCAAGAAUCGCGUGGCGAGCAGCUGCGACACGUGCGGCGUGAGGGAAGGGUUCCGGCCGGUGGUGUCGGCGGCGGAGGAGCAGGUGCGCAGGGGGUUCGCGGUGGUGCAGCGGUCGCGGGACCCCUACGCCGACUUCCGGGCGUCGAUGGUGGAGAUGGUGGUGAGCCGGCAGAUGUUCGGCGCGGUGGAGCUGGAGCGGCUGCUGCGGUCGUACCUCUCGCUCAACGCGCCGCGCCACCACCCCGUCAUCCUCCAGGCCUUCUCCGACAUCUGGGUCGUCCUCCACGGCGGCUAG